ACAUCAACCUCUUGAAACAGUUAUUCUUUUGGGACCCGUAGCAUAUGUGUAGACAUGUGCACACAAAGAUAGAAGAUAUGCAAGUUCAUCAUGGAAGAAAGAAGGCAGACCAGCUCCAUGAACCAAGGUGCAGCUCCCAGCUCACUAUACUUGAGGCCACUGCAGUGCCACUUCACAUGGUGCAGGAGUAAACAUUGACCUUGCAGGUCUGAAAACAUCUGCCUUUAGUUAUUUCUCAUUUUGGAGAAAGAAGAUUUUGAAACUGAAGAUUUAAGUAAUUUGCCAGAGUCAGAAUGCUGUAAGCAUCAGAACUCGAUUUUCGAACUUAAGUUUAUCUGACUCAAAAGCUUUUGCCUUUCACCACCACCCUAUUGCUUCUAAAAUGUCAAACAUCGGCUGAACCACAGGACAGGUAUCCUAUAAAUGAGGAGGAUGUGGAUGCACCCCCAUGUGUACGUAAGGACACACGAGCUAAAGGCUUUACCUGACCCAGUAAAAGUGUCAAGCGCUCCAUCUCCAGUCGUGGCUGUGGUUUCACUGCUGUUCAAGGGCUCUGUUUUGACUGCAAGAAGAGACACUACGUAGAAGAAUAAGUACAUUGAAUCACUGCUAUAUCCUUAUUGCCUGCAAAGCUGCCUGAAAAAGUAGUUUCUCAAGAAAAGCAGUUUCUCAAGAAACAUUUCAGUAAUAAAUGAAUGAGUGAAAUGGUGUGUAAGCCAUAACCAUCUUAGAAACAGCUGUGAAAUCAAGCAUGCUGGCUGGGAGAUGUGGCUCCUCUCCGCGGCACAGUGUCUAUAUCACUGAUCAGGUGGACAGAUAGUCCCAGAAGGAGGCCCUCACCAACCCAUUUCCCCAGACACAGUCAGAACUGGGGUCAGCUGCAGAGAUGGGAACCGCAAGAGGAAGGAGACCCUUAACAAGGACCAGGAAAGUGGUGUAUGCAUAAAGAAAGGAAGCUGUUCUUGAAAUGUGCCAGUGACCUCAUCCCUGUCCCUGAGGCCAGCAUGAGUGCUUGCAGUGCAAGUGACCCAUCUGCCAGGGUGACCUCAGGCCUCGGACUAACAGCAAAUAAAGCCAUGAACACACUGUUCUCUGGACACUUUUGCAAUUUUUCCUUUCCAGGGCCUACAGCUCUAGACUUGAGACCUGCAACUCUUCCCCUUUGUUCACUAUGACUCUAACAAAUUUAAAACAUGUCAGUUCUCUCCAACCCCAAGAAAUGUGAAUAAAUGUUUCCGAAAACCAGAAGCAUUUCCCUAAAUUUUUGUUUUUAAAAGUCCCCCUUAAUCGGAAAACAAAGAAAUAAACAAAAAUCCAAUGGAUUUUCCAAGCAUUAUUUGAAUGGCACAGGAUUCACUUUCUGUCAGAUCAGUUCAAACCAUCAUUAAUGAAGCAGAAAAUUAUUUUCCUCUAGCAAGUAGUGGAGUAAAGCCAUAAGACCACAAUCAAAACAUUUAAUGCCAUCAAUUGUACUAAGAAACAUAUCACUGUUUUUUUCUAAGAAAAAACUCUACCAGUAAAGAUCAAACUGUUCACAGGAUAAACAAAUCUAGGUUUCCCAAUGUUGUACUAACAAGAGCAAAGCAUUGAUAUAAUGUACAAAAAAAAGGUGGUAACCUAUUAAAAUGAUCAGAUUUCCAGUUCUGAAGGGACAUUAAAUGUCCUCAAAAGCAAAAUGGAAUAUUGUGCUUAAGGCUAUGAGAGCAGUGUUAAGAGUCUCUACUGUCAACUAAAACCUGAAUUUUAAACUCUGCCUCAUUUACCAGUCAUGGGACCUUAGUCUCAAUAUUGGAGAUAAUAAUAUCCUCUGGAAGGCUAAUGUGUGAAUUAAAUAAGAUCACACAAAAAAAAGUAUCCAAAGGUUGGCCUACAGUGCAUCCUUCAUAAAUUUUAUUACUACAAUCACUUCUACAACACAGACAAUAAAACAGCCUGGUUUGUCUAUUUGAAAACUUGUAGUGUCAAGAAAAUCAUUUUCUUAAGAGGCAGCCCUUUCAUUUUCAGAUAACUUAUACUAUCAGAAAGUUUUCUAUCCGGGGCUUCCCUGAAACUUUGGUCCAAGAAAAUUCAUUUAUUGUCAUGGGUCAAGUCUAAACCUUCUUUCAUAUAACAGUCUUUCACACAUCAAUGACCUGUCCUGCCCAAGAGCUUUUUCUCUCUCAGGGAGGGCAUCUCCAAUUCCCUCAGUCCACUCAGUCCAUCUCAAACUCUUUUACUUUCCUAGCAUUCUCUUCCAUAAGAUCUCCAGGAUUCUUCUUUAACAGUGGUCCCCAUAGUCACACAGUUGUGGUCCAAAAUAUGGCAAGGCUAUUACAACUCUCACUUGUCAGUGUAGACUGAAGAGUACAUUAGCUUUGUCCUCAGACACUGUGCAGUCCUAAUUCAUGCCUAAACCCAGCCAGUGAAAUUCUCAAGUCUUUGUCCCAUGUGAUGCUUGAGAGCCCUGUGUCCUCCCAGUCGCUCACUACACAUGCAGUUGGCAUUUGGGACCCGAGUGAACAGCUUUUCAUGUGUUUCUCCUAAAUGCCAUCUUGUUGGACUUGAGUCCAUUGUUUCAGCCUGUCUGUUAGAUUCUGAUUCUGCUGUUCAAUGUCCUCUUUCCCAGUGAAGUUCCUAUCUCACCUACAAACUUUCUUAGCAUGCCCUCAAUGCCCUCACAAUAAACAUGUUGGCCAGCCACAGUGGCUCACGCCUGUAAUCCCAGCAUUUUGGGAGGCCAAGGUGGGUGGAUCAUGAGGUCAAGAG
Molecule: long non-coding RNA, 2745 nt
Filed under: Homo sapiens (human)
Lineage: Eukaryota; Metazoa; Chordata; Mammalia; Primates; Hominidae
Description: HSALNT0336997
Source: RNAcentral